RNAcentral lists this ribosomal RNA (496 nucleotides) under uncultured bacterium. Its description in RNAcentral is "partial 16S ribosomal RNA". It matches the Rfam family "Bacterial small subunit ribosomal RNA", at positions 28 to 506 of the family's 1533-position model. The record is from RNAcentral.
GAUGAACGCUGGCGGCGUGCCUAAUACAUGCAAGUCGAGCGAACAGACGAGGAGCUUGCUCCUCUGACGUUAGCGGCGGACGGGUGAGUAACACGUGGAUAACCUACCUAUAAGACUGGGAUAACUUCGGGAAACCGGAGCUAAUACCGGAUAAUAUAUUGAACCGCAUGGUUCAAUAGUGAAAGACGGUUUUGCGGUCACUUAUAGAUGGAUCCGCGCCGCAUUAGCUAGUUGGUAAGGUAACGGCUUACCAAGGCAACGAUGCGUAGCCGACCUGAGAGGGUGAUCGGCCACACUGGAACUGAGACACGGUCCAGACUCCUACGGGAGGCAGCAGUAGGGAAUCUUCCGCAAUGGGCGAAAGCCUGACGGAGCAACACCGCGUGAGUGAUGAAGGUCUUCGGAUCGUAAAACUCUGUUAUUAGGGAAGAACAAAUGUGUAAGUAACGAUGCACGUCUUGACGGUACCUAAUCAGAAAGCCACGGCUAACUACGU